UGGAGUUUAAACGGGUCACAUGCUUAUGUCACAGAUAAGAGGAACAUUUUAUUUUUAUUCAAUGGGGAUUUACAGAUUUUACUGGGCUCUUUUAACGUGAAAUAAAGCCACACUUUAGAGCGCCGCUUACUCUGCUCCAUGGGUGCAAUACAACAAGUGCCUGGCAGCUACG
Molecule: long non-coding RNA, 172 nt
Organism: Etheostoma spectabile (orangethroat darter)
Lineage: Eukaryota; Metazoa; Chordata; Actinopteri; Perciformes; Percidae
Exons: 3
Source: RefSeq, a predicted model, not a curated record